RNAcentral lists this ribosomal RNA (867 nucleotides) under uncultured Clostridia bacterium. RNAcentral describes it as "bacterial SSU rRNA". It matches the Rfam family "Bacterial small subunit ribosomal RNA", at positions 8 to 904 of the family's 1533-position model. Lineage: Bacteria; Bacillati; Bacillota; Clostridia. The record is from RNAcentral.
AGAGUUUGAUCCUGGCUCAGGAUGAACGCUGGCGGCGUGCCUAACACAUGCAAGUCGAGCGAUUCUCUUCGGAGAAGAGCGGCGGACGGGUGAGUAACGCGUGGGUAACCUGCCCUGUACACACGGAUAACAUACCGAAAGGUAUGCUAAUACGAGAUAACAUACUUUUAUCGCAUGGUAGAAGUAUCAAAGCUCCGGCGGUACAGGAUGGACCCGCGUCUGAUUAGCUAGUUGGUAAGGUAACGGCUUACCAAGGCGACGAUCAGUAGCCGACCUGAGAGGGUGAUCGGCCACAUUGGAACUGAGACACGGUCCAAACUCCUACGGGAGGCAGCAGUGGGGAAUAUUGCACAAUGGGCGAAAGCCUGAUGCAGCAACGCCGCGUGAGCGAUGAAGGCCUUCGGGUCGUAAAGCUCUGUCCUCAAGGAAGAUAAUGACGGUACUUGAGGAGGAAGCCCCGGCUAACUACGUGCCAGCAGCCGCGGUAAUACGUAGGGGGCUAGCGUUAUCCGGAAUUACUGGGCGUAAAGGGUGCGUAGGUGGUUUCUUAAGUCAGAGGUGAAAGGCUACGGCUCAACCGUAGUAAGCCUUUGAAACUGGGAAACUUGAGUGCAGGAGAGGAGAGUGGAAUUCCUAGUGUAGCGGUGAAAUGCGUAGAUAUUAGGAGGAACACCAGUUGCGAAGGCGGCUCUCUGGACUGUAACUGACACUGAGGCACGAAAGCGUGGGGAGCAAACAGGAUUAGAUACCCUGGUAGUCCACGCCGUAAACGAUGAGUACUAGCUGUCGGAGGUUACCCCCUUCGGUGGCGCAGCUAACGCAUUAAGUACUCCGCCUGGGAAGUACGCUCGCAAGAGUGAAACUCAA